Non-coding RNA from Biomphalaria pfeifferi, 337 nucleotides. Lineage: Eukaryota; Metazoa; Mollusca; Gastropoda; Planorbidae. The record is from the annotation of a GenBank genome assembly.
AUUACGUAACAAAGGUUUAAUGAGAUAUGACGUAAAUGAUAGUUAUACAUAGCAAUUAGAAAUAGAUUAUUUAAUAUAACAUAAUAAAUAGGCCUAAAUUAUGUACCAAUAUAUCAAAUGAAAGCACAUAUUCUGUUACAGUGCCUGCUAUACACUCCAGACUCACGCUGCUCACAAUCAAAUACAGCCAAAGUACUACUACUACAGGAAUGGCUAGACUUGCACCAGUCCCAGGCCUUAGUCAAACCGCCACACCCUCCCGAAUAUAUAUAUAUUGGCGGGGGAGGUGGGUUGCGAGAUAAAAAUCCCCUCUACCCCCCCCCCCCAAAAAAAAAUC